UCGGAUCUUUGAGAGCGGCGCACGGGUGCGGAACACGUGUGCAACCUGCCUUUAUCAGGGGGAUAGCCUUUCGAAAGGAAGAUUAAUACCCCAUAAUAUAAUGACUGGCAUCAGUUCUUAUUGAAAACUCCGGUGGAUAGAGAUGGGCACGCGCAGGAUUAGAUAGUUGGUAGGGUAACGGCCUACCAAGUCAACGAUCCUUAGGGGGCCUGAGAGGGUGAUCCCCCACACUGGUACUGAGACACGGACCAGACUCCUACGGGAGGCAGCAGUGAGGAAUAUUGGACAAUGGGUGAGAGCCUGAUCCAGCCAUCCCGCGUGAAGGACGACGGCCCUAUGGGUUGUAAACUUCUUUUGUAUAGGGAUAAACCUACUCUCGUGAGAGUAGCUGAAGGUACUAUACGAAUAAGCACCGGCUAACUCCGUGCCAGCAGCCGCGGUAAUACGGAGGGUGCAAGCGUUAUCCGGAUUUAUUGGGUUUAAAGGGUCCGUAGGCUGAUUUGUAAGUCAGUGGUGAAAUCUCACAGCUCAACUGUGAAACUGCCAUUGAUACUGCAAGUCUUGAGUGUUGUUGAAGUAGCUGGAAUAAGUAGUGUAGCGGUGAAAUGCAUAGAUAUUACUUAGAACACCAAUUGCGAAGGCAGGUUACUAAGCAACAACUGACGCUGAUGGACGAAAGCGUGGGGAGCGAACAGGAUUAGAUACCCUGGUAGUCCACGCCGUAAACGAUGCUAACUCGUUUUUGGGUUUUCGGAUUCAGAGACUAAGCG
RNAcentral lists this ribosomal RNA (770 nucleotides) under Chryseobacterium shigense. RNAcentral's name for it is "bacterial SSU rRNA". It matches the Rfam family "Bacterial small subunit ribosomal RNA", at positions 80 to 853 of the family's 1533-position model. The record is from RNAcentral. Lineage: Bacteria; Pseudomonadati; Bacteroidota; Flavobacteriia; Flavobacteriales; Weeksellaceae.